AUACAACUCCCUUAUAUGAACUAAAGGACCAAGACACCAACCAAAAAAAACUUUUAACCACACACACAUAUCACUCUAUACAGAUAUUUUAUCUUCUGUCCUUAAAAGGGACCCUCCUCUUCAUACUUCAAAGAAAAAACUUUUCAUUUGUUUUUUGAAAAAAGACUCUUUCACAACACCCAUCUAUAACCUCUCAUCUCCCUCUAACAACUUACUGCAACUACUCCAUGAAAACUCUUUACUAAACAUCACUCAACCACUUCGGCACUACUUAAGCACCUCCCUUCACACCGGAGGUGCAUGAACAAACGCAACCACCACUAAACAACAACUCAGCCACAAACCGCAUCCACGCAACAACCACAGACCGCUCUCUCUCCACCACCACAACAUCGUCGCCGAAGAUAUUGGAAGAUCACGAAAACAACUUUGGUAUUUUCUAACUUAAUUAAUAUUUAUGUACUUGAGUAUGUUCCCAUGAAAGUUGCAUUAUAAUAUGAAUCCAUACAUAUAUACCUAUAGAGUGGUAACCUGUUCUUUGCAGCUUUGUUGGAUGUUUAUAUCUGUUUUCUUCUAUUUUCUUUCAUUUGCUCUUGUGUUUUAGAACACACGCUUGUCUGAAUUCAUGGGUUGUCUACUUAUCUGGUUGCCAAGUUUAUCUUGUUUUGGUUCCAGGACAUGAAGUUUAAAAGAGGUGUUUUAAUUAUAUGGUUGUUGUGUUUUCAUUCAUAAGCCGAAUAGAUAGAGUUUGUUGAUGUAUUUUCAUGUUUUAUUUUUCCGCCUGUGUCAACUUGUGAUUAGUGGCUUUUGAGAAUUGAAAAAAGUUAUUCUAUCCCUUGACCUACACCAACAAACUCAGUAAUCCGAUGCUUCCACUUCUUCGUAGAAACCGUUGCCGGCAACAGAUUUCGACACAUUAUAACAGCUCAAACGCUCCGAAAAACUGUCGUCGUACUUUGAGAAUUUGAGAAUCACUGCAUUGCUAUGAAUCUCGUUUGUUUUUAUUCUCUUCUUUGUUUGCCUUGAUUUUUCCUUUCACUUUUAUUAUCUUAUUAACUGGAUUUUAAAGUUUGAUUUCUUUUGUUUCUUAGUUUGUUUUUAUUCAUUGAAAAGUUGAAUGAAGUUCAUGGCAGGAGUUAAGAAAAGAUAGGAAUAUAUCUCUCAGUGUCAUUUUCAGCUUGUGUUUUCACUACAAUAUUGAUAUGCUUACCUUUUUUAUGCUUACUUUUUUUUGUUCAUGUUAGUAUUAAAGUGAGUUUAUGAUUAGAAUCAUGGUAUUGUAUCAUGCCUUCUACUAUAUUAUGAGUAUUGAUGUGUUUUUACUGUGAGAUAUCAUAUUAAUAUUAGUAUGGUUACAUGUUUAAAAUACCAUUUUAUAUUGUCAACCAGAGAACCCCUUUCUUAAAUAUAUAUGCUAUUAAGUGUAAUGAAAAGAAAAGAGAGCUAGAUUGUGAAAAUGAGGAACGAACCCCCUUUUUAUUUUAUUUUAUUAUUCUUUUAAUUUAUGUUUUUUCAUUUAGGGCUAAUAUUUUGUGGGCUUGGAUUCAAAAGACCAUUUAAUAUCACACCUCAUUUAUUACAUGAACUAUCCUUUAUGCAUUUCUUUCUAUGAUUAAUGUAAAUUAGCAACUAAUUGCUUAAUUAAUAUUUUAUCUAAUUAGUUAAUUAGAGCCUAAUUGAUUAAUUACUUUUUCUUUCUAAGUGUAUUACUUGAUUACUUUUUUUAAGUCAAUCUUAUUGUGUUGAGUUGUUUAAUUAUACGAUCCAUGUGCAUGUCACCGCACAUAUAAAUAAUCUCUCGAUAUUUCACCACUUUACCAGUUUAAAAUUCAUUUCAAAACGAAUACAGUAAAUUUCAAACCAUUUUAAAAUCACUAACACAAUUAAAGCAUAACAUUAAAACUUUUUUUAAACAUAUACGAAAGAAAAUGACCGUUGGAAUCUAGCAUUCCGGUGGAACCCUCGAAUGAUCGGUCCCGAGCCUCGUGUUUUGGGUUAACCGUUCACUCUUUUCUUUCGCCCCUAAAACACUUUAAUUAACUUGGACAAAAUAAGGGCCGUUGGGAUCAAGCAUUCUGGCACAACUCUUUGAACAAUUGAUUCUUAUCAAGCGUUCGUUGUCCAUCAAACAAUUUUCUCAAUUAAUUCGAAUGAAAAAUGACCGUUGGAAUCUAGCAUUUCGGUGGAACCCCGAAUGAUUGAUCCUGAGGCUUAUGUCUCAUUCUCAUCUAAUGUUCAUCCUUCACCUAUAAAAAAUAUUCAACCAAUCAAACUAUUUUCUCGCCGCCGUGCGAUUAAUCUUCAAAACCUUUUCAUAAAUGAAAGACAUCUUGUCUUAAGAUGAUGCAAAUCAAUGCUUCGUCCAUAAUUGUUGAGUUGAGAUAAGUGACGUUUUUCCGAAUGUUGAUUGUAAAUCCAUUCGACGUGUGAUAUAUGUCCGCUCCUCAUCUGUUUUGGGUAAAACAAUGUUUUUCGUCGAUUAAUACAAUAUAGCUUUUACUAAAAUCGACCAACAAACAAACAUUUUUCUACCUAGAACUACGUAAGCCUUGAGUUCUCUAUUGAGAUACGUAGGAGCAGGAUUGCGAAAUCUUGUCAGGCCCAUUAAUAAAAAACUUAGGCUUAGUCCCCUUAAUUGUAAAAAUCCAAAAACAUUCUUCUCUCGUCUAUUCUUUCUUUCCCACCUAAUAACUCGAGAAGCCUAACAUUUCUAAACUAACAACACGCUAACAUUUAUCGAAACUAACUAAAUGGUUCCCGUUGAGUACAGCGGAUGUGAGGGGUGCUAAUACCUUCCCCUUGUGUAACCGACUCCCGAACCCUGAUAUUGGUUGCGAUGACCAUAUCUUAUCCUUUCUUUUAGGGGUUUUAUCGAUAUUUUUCCUUUCCUAUUUUGGGAAUAAAUAAAGUUCGGUGGUGACUCUGUUCAGUCCAUCCCACGAGCGUGCGAUUGCGCUUCGCUAAGUCGCGUUCUCAUUUUUCGAGGUGCGACAGAUGGCGACUCUACUGGGGACAGGAACAUCCCUAAGUGAGUCAACCCUAGUUCAGUUAAGUUUUCGUAUGUGUGUUAGCUUUGUUUGUUUAUUUUUCUUCCUCUGUUAUGUGAUUUCUUUAUCCCUACUUUAUCGCGUUUGUAUAUCUGUAUAUAUGUUCAUAUGUGGGCUUUGGGAUUUUUGAUAUCAUGAAUAAAGCUCUACACCCGAGCUUUGGAAAAAGAAGAGAGAACACAUAAGUUUAGAAUUGGAAGUUCUAUAGUGUUAGUCCCCAAGGGCCACUCCUUGCAUGUCUAGCAUGAAGACUCCCCUAGAGUAGACCUGUUUAUAGAUCUUGUUAUAAGGCAGCUAGCCUGUCGCAUGACGUUGACUCAUGAAGGGUCCAUGACUCUAGGAGCCCCUCUUAGAACCAAUUUCUACUUUGGUGGUUGCGUAAUGUUGGACUCCAAGGGCCUCUCCUUGUUGCACCCAACAUGAAAACCCCGCUCAGAAGAGACCUUUCGUCACUCUUGUCAUAAAGUGGCUAGCCUGUUGCAUGAUGUUGAUACGGUUAUGGUCCAUGACUAUGGAAACCUUAUCAAAAAUGUAGAAACUAUCCUGUGAGUGGGUUUAUGGGUAACCAACUUAGAACUAUCUAGAAGCCUACCAAAUAGGGUGUUUUGAGUUACCUUAUGAUAUCCCAAAACCAAAUACCAUGCGUUCAUGAUCAUUUGCAUAACAUCAUGACACUCAUACAAAAUUUUCUUUUCAGGGAAUUUUUGAAUACGCAGUUGCUAGCACGAAAAGUUUGUAAUAGGUUCAGAAAGAAGGAAAGCAUUACCAUUCAAAGCCAAAAUGCCAAAUAUUGCCAACAUAUCAAGACUUUUGAAUGAACUUCCUGCAUGCUUCAGGGUUACUUUGCAAGGAAAGUUUGGCCAGAUUUUGGAUCUCCUCUCAGUAGAUGUUCAAACACCAGCCAUCACCGUUUUGGCUCAGUUCUAUGAUCCCCCGCUUCGAAGUUUCUUAUUCCAAGACUUUCAGUUGACUCCAACCUUGGAGGAAUUCAACCGGCUCUUGGGAUUUUCUAUGAAAGGAAAGACACCGUAUAAUAGAAUUGGUCAGGUACCUGAGGUAGAGAUGCUAGCCCUUGCACUCCACAUCCCCAUAUCUGAUGCAUUGGCUAAUUGGAAAAAAAGGGAGAAUCUCUUUGGUUUUUGGAGGGCUUACCUAGAAGAAGAAGCAGAAAGGUUGUUUGUGAUACGUCAUUGGGAUGCAUUGGCAAAUAUACUAGCUCUUCUCAUAUAUGGGCUAGUAUUGUUCUCAACCUAUGAAGGUUUUAUAGAUUCAGCUGCCAUAAGUAUCUUUUGGACCGUUUGGAAGGAUAAACAAAGUUUGGUUCCUCCACUACUAGCUGACACUUUUCAUACUUUGCAUACUCGACAUCAAAAGAAGAAAUUAUAGAUUCAGCUGCCAUAAGUAUCUUUUGGACCGUUUGGAAGGAUAAACAAAGUUUGGUUCCUCCACUACUAGCUGACACUUUUCAUACUUUGCAUACUCGACAUCAAAAGAAGAAUGGAAUGUUGAUAUGUUGCCUUCCAUUUCUCUAUAAUUGUCUUAUCUCAUAUGUGUUCAAGCCAAAUGCUCACAUCAGUGAAAUGUCCAAUGGGGAAUGGGCAAGAACUUUGGUGUCUUUGUCUAGUAAGGAUAUCAUUUGGUACCGACACAAGCUGAAUGUUGAAGAAAUCAUUAUCAGUUGUGGUAGUUUCCCAAAUGUACCACUAAUAGGAUAUAAAGGUUGCAUCAGCUACAACCCCAUGUUAGCUUUGCGACAAUUUGGAUACCCUAUGCGUGGGAAGCCCGAUGAUAAAGAGUUAGAAGAGAUGGUUUUGAAUGAUAUGGGAACCAAUUAUCCUUUUCUCCUCCGUAAGAUCAUCCGAUCUUAGGAAAAGGUGCAUACCAAAGGAACAUAAUUAGUAAAGAAGAAUGAUGCAGCAAGGGUUCCUUAUUAGCAAUGGGUCUCGGAGAGGAUCAAAGUUGUAAAGCUCCCUUUUUCUAUAUAGAUUCCUCUAAAGUCUACUUCACCAGAACCAGUCCCUGUUUCUCUUGAAGAGGUGGAAGAACUUCGAGCCAUGGUAGCUAAACUUGGAAAGGAGAAAGAGGAUCUGCAAUCUGAACAUCUACAAGAAAACUGGGGAAAAUAUGAUUCUCAAGAGGAAGAGUAACCAAAGGAAGGAACUUUGGAGGAGAGUCGUAAGAAGAACAGAAUUGAGCAAAGAUCUCAAGGAAAGAGUCUUGGAGUGCCUAGAUCAGGCUGAUAGUGAUUAGGUUCACUCCAUGAGAGUUAGCUUAAGGCUAAAAGAGAUGGACAAGAGUGGAAGCGUUGGUGGGACCUAGCCACUAAGCAAAAGAAGGAGGUAAGGGAGGAGCUUGAAGCCCAAAUCCAAGAACUGAAGGAGAAACUUCGAAGCUCCGAAGCUGAAGUGGUGCAUGAAAGACGUCUUAAGGAACAAGCCCAAAGAGCCUCUCAAAUAUGUCCUAAAGCCUGGGAAGAGAAGUGUGAUGAGUUGAAUACCAACAAGGAGCUAGCUAGUUAUUGGAAGGAAUAAUAUGAGUCUCUGAAGAGCCAGAGCAUGGGUUGGCUAAAUCAUAGGAAGCAUUUGAAUGAGAUAUUGGAUGAGUAUGAAUGCACCAUCAACCUUCUGCAGCUAAGUGUUGAUGCAUACCGUACGAAGUUGGCUAACCUCAUAGAGUUUUGUAAUGGCGUGGCCAUAAACUUACCAUGGAAAUUAGAAAAUUCUCUAGAGGACAUGGAUGAAAAUAACACUCAUCCUUCGGCUCGUGACCUUGUUUUGCUUUGCGAAAGGAUGAUGCGAUGAUUCAAAGAAGAAUUGAAGACCCACAAAGAGCGAGUUGCUAAGAAGACUCUUUAAGUUGUUUGCUUCGUGUUAUUUCCAAUUUUUGUAUUUGGCUUAAUGUUUUGUACCCACUUUGAUUGUAUACUUCGUAAUCUUUGGCUUCAUUGAAUGAAUGGGUAUUGAAUUUUUGCAUCAGCUUCUGACUAUUGUCUUCUGUUUCUAUUCACAUUACUUUCAAAGUACGUGCUCAACAACUGCAAAGUUUAUAAGAAUCCCUAAAAAUAAAUAAACAUAAAAUGCAUUCAUACAUACAUUCAUGCAUUCUCCAUAUAAAUAAAUAAAAACUCAUUCCGUUUUCUCUAUUCAGUUACGUGCUCAACAACUGCAAAGUUUAUAAGAAUCCCUAAAAAUAAAUAAACAUAAAAUGCAUUCAUACAUACAUUCAUGCAUUCUCCAUAUAAAUAAAUAAAAACUCAUUCCGUUUUCUCUAUUCAGUUGUUACACACUGAGUCCUCAACACCACUACAACACGAGAGCCAACGCUCAUCAAAGAAUGGCAGAUCAAGAACAAGAAUUGGAGAGAGUAAGCUCAGAACUUGAGGACCUACGAGGAAACAUGGGUCAAGUCAUGAAAAUACUACAAGUCAUUAAGGCCAAAUUAGACACCCAAACGACAGUCAUUUCAGAAAUCACCGGUCCUACGAUUGAACCCCAACCUGCAAGGACAUUGCCUACUACUUGGCCAGUCUUCGGUUUACCUCCCGGCUUUACACCUUCAGUUGAAGGUGCCUCUGGAGUUGUACAACCCACUCAGCAAACAGUCCCUCUACCAACCAUCAAUGAAGCUCAUCUCGUGGUCCACACAUUUGCACCACCCCUUGUCCACGCAUAUGUGCAACCUUAUUUUGAAGAUCAACAACAUGCUCCAGAUUUUUCUGACGAAGAUGAUGAAAGGCAUGAAGACAUAAGAGGAAUGAAGGAGAAUUUUCAGAUUCUUGAGAAAAGGUUAAGGGCUAUACAACAACAUGCUCCAGAUUUUUCUGACGAAGAUGAUGAAAGGCAUGAAGACAUAAGAGGAAUGAAGGAGAAUUUUCAGAUUCUUGAGAAAAGGUUAAGGGCUAUGGAAGGUGACCAAGUCUUUGGUGUUGCUGCUAGGGAGAUGUGCCUAGUGUCUGGUCUCAUGAUUCCUGCAAAAUUCAAGACCCCGGAUUUUGAUAAGUACGAGGGCCACUCAUGUCCUAAAAGUCACAUCAUUAUGUACUGUCGAAAAAUGGCGGCGCACGUGGAGGACGAUAAACUUAUGAUGCAUUGCUUCCAAGACAGCUUGAGGGGUGCUCUCUCUAAGUGGUACUUAAGCCUUGAUCAAAGUAGAAUUCGUUGUUUCCAAGACUUAUCUGAUGCUUUCAUCCAGCAUUAUAAGUAUAACAUGGAUAUGGCCCCAGAUAGGAGGCAAUUACUCAGCAUGUCCCAGAAAGAUAACGAGUCUUUUAAGGAAUAUGCACAACGAUGGAGGGAAGUGGCCUCGCAAGUCGAACCACUCCUUGUUGAGAAGGAGUUAGCAUAUUGGUUCAUGGAUACAGUAAAACCCAUGUUCUAUGAAAGGAUGGUGAGUAGUGUAUCGGCAAGUUUCUCUGACUUGGUUGCCGUGGGCAUAAAAGUCGAGCUUGGAUUGAAGAAUGGCAAAAUGAUAACCACCAAUGAAACAUCCGGUAAUAAUGUCAAAAAGUUUUCCGGAGGUUUUCAAAGAAAGAAAGAGGGCGAAACAAACGCAGUGUCAACCAGUCAAAGAAGGAGUCACUCGUGGAAGAAGCAACAACAACAAAUUGCUCAAUAACAACCAACUUAUCCAGUGCAGUAUAUUCAACAACCGUAUGUGGUAGCAGUCACGCCAACUUUCAACCAAUCACAAGCUCCUGUCUAUCAACCUAUUCAACAAGCACCAGUAUACCAGCAAACACCCAUGCCACCCUCUUAUCAACAGCCAAGGGCGCAGGCUCCGCAUCCAUAAAAUCUUCCAAAUCAAAAUAGGGUACAAAGAGGAAGACCUCCUUUCGCUUCAAUCCCUAUGACGUACACUGAGUUAUACCCAUCGUUGCUGCAGAAAGGGUUGGUAACUCCCAGACCUUUGGGUCCCCCGCCAAAUCCUUUACCUCCAUGGUACAAUCAAGAUGCCCAUUGUCCUUUCCAUGAGGGUGCCCCUGAGCAUGAUUUAGAGGGAUGUUAUGCUUUGAAGCAUAUUGUGCGAGAGCUGGUUGAGAAGAAGAUCCUUUCAUUCCGAGAUGUUGGACCCAACGUAAAAAGUAACCCUCUGCCGGUGCAUGGUGAUGUUAAUGCCAUUGAGGAUGUUUCUGAUGCUUAUAUAAUAAAAAAUGUUGAAGAUGUUAAAACUCCAUUGCUAGCACUCCAUGCAAGAUUGGUGGGAGCUAGUUUGAUUGAUACAUGUCACGACGACUGUGAAGAAUGUGCCGUUUAUCCAAGGGGAUGUAAAGUGGUACGAACUGAUAUUCAAAACUUGAUGGAUCAAGGUGUUUUGCAAGCUUGUGGUCCUGCAACAAACGAGGAGGUUUCAGUCAUUGAACCCUUUUUCAAUCUACCAAAACCUGUUGAGAUAACUUAUCAAAGAAAAGAUGUUAUUCAUCCAUCACCCGUGGUAGUUUGUAUGCCUACCCCCUUUCCCUUUGAAAGCAUCAAGGCGGUGCCUUGGAAAUAUGACAUAAUUAUGGUAGAUGAAGUGGUAGAUAAAGAACCCAAAGAUGUUGAAGGUGAGAAAAUCUUGGAGAAUGUUAACACCAAUAUCACGAACAUCGCAGGGACAAGCAGAAUGACCCGCAGCGGUCGGAUUUAUACUCCUGAUGUCAAUAUAAUCCCUCAAGAACCAACAAGGGAAGCUACAACUGCAGUUCCUGCCCCAGAAUAUGGAGGGGUACAACCGACGGUGCAAUCAGAUGAAGCGAUUGAAUUUCUGAAAAUAAUAAAGAAAAUCGACUACAAGAUAGUCGAUCAGUUACAUCAAACACCGUCAAAAAUAUCUAUCUUGUCCUUGCUUCUGAAUUCCCAAGCUCAUAGGGAGGCUCUACUGAAAGUGCUUGCAGUUCGAGUACAAUGGGUUCUAUAUUGCCAACCGGUUAAGCUAAGGGUGGUCGCCAAUAUCACAGCCUGCAACACUCUAAGUUUCAGCAAUGAAGAGCUACCCAAGGAAGGGAAGAAUCACAAUCGCGCCUUACAUGUAUCUAUAAAGUGCCAAGAAGAUGCUCUGGGCAAGGUCUUAGUUGACACUGGAUCGUCCCUCAAUGUUCUACCAAAGAGGGAACUUGCUAAAUUAUCUUACCAAGGUUCGGAAAUGAAACCUAGUGCACUUGUGGUAAAAGCAUUUGAUGGUUCUCGGAGGACAGUAGUUUGGGAGGUAGAGCUACCAAUCCAAAUCGGACCGCACGUAUUCCCCAUCAAUUUCCAAGUCAUGGACAUAAAUCCCGCUUAUAGAUGCCUUUUAGGACGUCCAUGGAUACAUGCUGCUAGGGCAGCGACUUCUACUUUGCAUCAGAAAAUGAAGUUUGUCGUCGAUGACAAGCUCAUCAUUGUCUCGGGUGAAGAAGAUUUUAUCAUUAGUCAACUCUCCUCUUUCCGUUAUAUCGAGGCUGAUGAAGAUGCCUUAGAGACCUCUUUCCAAGCACUUGAAAUAUCCAAUGCCACACUUGCAGAAGUAAAGGAUCCUAUUGAGAAAACCNAGAGAUAAUGUUUUUGGAUUUUUACAACGAAGGGGACAAGCCUAAUUUUAUUAAUGGCCUGACAGAGAUUGUCACAAUCCUGCUCCUAACGUAUCUCAAUGAGGAAUCAAGGUCGUAGCGUAGUUCUUGUGUAGAAAAGAUGUUGUUUGGUUGGUUCGAUUUUAGCGAAAGCUAUACUUGAUUAAUCGACGAAAAACAUUGUUUUUACCCAAACCAAUGAGAGCGGACAUAUACCACACGUCGAAUGGAUUUACAAUCAACAUUCGAAAACUGUCCGUUUACUUAUCUCAACUCAACAAUUAUGGGACGAAGCAUUGCUGUUGCCAUCAUCUUAAGACAAGAUGUCUUUCAUUUAUGAAAAAGGUUUUGAAGAUUAAUCGCACGGCGGCGAGAAAUAGUUUGGAUUUGGUUGAAGUAUUUUUUUUUAUAUGGUUGGGUGAAUUGCACGAACAAUUUGAUGAGAAUGAGACAUAAGCCUCAGGAUCACAAUCAUUCGGGGUUUCUACCGGAAAUGCUAGAUUCCAAACGGUCCCUUUUUCAUUCGAAUUAAUUGAGAAAAUUAAUUUGAUGGACAUACGAAACGGUUGAUAAGAAUCAAUUGUUCAAAAGUUGCGCCAGAUAUGCUUGAUUCCCCAACGACCCUUAUUUUUCCAAGUUAAUAAAGUGUUUUGGGUGAGAAAGAAAGAGCACGUGAUACGGUUCAACCAAAACAGCGUUAGUCUGUGUGAUCCCGGAUCAUUUUCGUCCGGGUUCAUGUCGAUAUCCUAGAGUAUUCCAUACGGUCAUUUUCUUCCCGUUAAUGUUUUAAAAAAAUGUUUUAGAUUCGUUAUGCUUUAAUUGCUGUUUAUGUGAUUUUAAAAUGGUUUGAAAUAUUUGUAUUUUUUGUUUUUGAAAUGAAUUUUUGGAACUGAUAAAGUGAUGAAUAUUCGAGAGAUUUUAUUUUAAAUAUUGUGGCGGGUGGAAACAAUGCACAUGGAUCGAUAGUUUAAAACAACUCACACAAUAAGAAUUGACUUAAACAAAAGUAAUGCAAGUAAUACACUUAGAAAGAAAAAGUAAUUAAUCAAAUUUAGGCUCUAAUCAACUAAUUGAUAAAAUAUUAAUCAAGCCAUUAUUUGCUAAUUUAACAUAAUCAUAGAAAAAAUGCAGAAAGGAUAGUUCCAAUGUAAUAAAUGAGUUUGAUAAUAAUGGUACUUUUGAAUCAAGCCCACAGAAAUAUUAGCCCUAAUGAAAAAACAUAAUUAAAGAUAAUAAAAUAAAAUAAACGGGCGUCGUUCCACAUUUUCUUACUCCUGCCUUUCAUAUGUAGUGAAACACAAGCUGGAAUGAAACUGAGAGAUAUAUUCCCUAUCUUUUCUUAACUCCUGCCCAUGAACUUCAUUCAACUUUCAAUGAACAAAACGACUAAGAACAAAAAGAAAUCAAACUUUAAAUCCAGUAAUAAGAUAAUAAAGUGAAAGGGAAAAAUCAAGGCAAACAAAGAAGAGAAUGAAAACAAACGAGAGUCUAGCAAUCGGUGAUUCUCAAAUCUCAGACGAGACGUUUUCGGGCGUUUGAGCUGUUAUAAUGUGUUUGAAAUCGCGUGCCCGGCCAACGGUUUCUAUGAAAGUGGAAGCAUCGCAUUACUGAGUUGUUGGUGUAAGGUCAAGGGUAGAAUAACUUUUUUCAAUUUGCAAAAGCCACUAAUCAGCAAGUUGACACAAUGGCGAUGGAAAAAUAAAACCCAUGAAAAUUAAUCCAACAAUAUCUCUAUCUACUUUUCUGUUAUGAAUGAAACAACAACAACAGUUAUAUUAAAAACCUCCUUUCUUUUUAUAAACUUUCUAUGUUCCAUGGAAUUUCCAAAAAAGAUAAACUUGUGCAACCAAGAUACAGUAAUGACAGCCCCAUGAAUUAGACAAAGCGGUGUUUGUUCUAACAACAAUCAAGAGUGCAAAUGAAAGAAAAUAAGAAAACAAUUUAAACCCAACAAGUCCUCAAAAUAGUUAACACUCAUAGGUAUAUAUGUAUGGAUUCAAUUAUAAUGCAACUUUCAUGGAACAUACUCAACGGUACAUAAAUAUUAAUUAAGUUAGAAAAACAAAAGUGUUUUCGUGAUCUUCCAAUAUCUUCGGGACGAUGUGUGGUGCGUGGAGAGAGAGAGCGGUCCUGUGGUUGGUUAGCAUGGAUGGCGGUUUGUGGGCUGGAGUUGUUAUUUGGUGUGGUUGGCGUUUGUUCAUGCACCGCCGGUGUGAAGGGAGGUGUCUUAAGUAGUGCGACGUGGUUGAGUGAUUGUUUAGUAAAGACGUUUCAUGGAGUAGUUGCAGUAAGUUGUUAGAGGGAGAUGAGAGGUUUUAGUAUGGUGUUUGUGAAAGAGUCUUUUUCAAAACCAAAUGAAUUUUUUUUCUUUGGAGUAUGAAGCAGGAGGUCCCUUUUAAGGGCAGAAGAUAAAAGUAUCUGUUCUAAGAGUGAUAUGUGUGUGUGUUAAAAGUUUUUUUUGGUUGGUGUCUUGGUCCUUUAGUCCAUAGAGGAGGGAGUUUGUAUGUAUAUCAAUAUAUAAGAGUGAGAUCAACAUCUAGUUGGUAGGGAGAGAAAUUUUUGAAACCUGUAACGCAGCUUUGAUUCCUUCAAAACGGAAUCUCCCUUCUUUGCAGCUAUGGUGCGGUGGGGCAAGAUAGGGUGUUGGCUGCAAUUGUUUUGGCUUUUUCCACAUAUGCAUAGAAACCAUUCUUUAAUGAAAAAGGGAUCAACUUAAUUGAUUAUUUAUGGUAAAAGGAAAAUUGAUAAAUAACAUUAAAUUUUUAUAAAAAAAUCAAUUAUAUUUAAAUAAAACAAAAUAAAAAUAAAAAUAUAACAAAUCUAUUUAUUAUUUCAAAAUAUUAGACUGAAAAUAAUAAAUAAAACAAGAAUUCAAAUGAGUAAAAGUUGGGUGUAAAAAAUGCUCGAAAAAUUAAACUGAAUGCAACAAAAUAAUCAGUUCAAAAUAAACCUCUAAUAAAUAUACAGGUUUUGAUUAGAUUUUGGAAAUAUAGUAACAAAAUGCUCGGUUAAAACGGCUCAGACGAGUCAAAAUAUGCAUCGAGAAAAAUUAGUCGGCAAAAAAAUCGAGCACAUCAGUCAAACUACGUGAAAACGUAGAUUAAAAAACUUAUGUUGGCAAGCUUGAUUUGAAAAAUUUUUUGCACCUCUAUUUUGGACGCAACAUUGACAAUUGACUCAACCAGGUUUUUCCUGUAGAUCUCGAAAUUAAUUAAUUGACAAUUUAGGCAUUAUCAAGAUGAAAUGCAUGUAUGAUAUGCGUGUGAUUUAAGCAUGAAAAAUGUUAUUCGGGUCCAACCCUGGUGGUAAUGACAGUGCCCUAUGUUUAGUAUCUUCAACCAGAGAAUAUGAAGAAUGUUACUUCUUCAAUAUGAUCGUGGUAGGAGACUAAAUUAAAAUACUAAAAAGACCCGAAUUUUGUCUCUGAAUGCAAUUACAUGAUUGAUAUGUUAUGGAAUGUAAUGCAAUGAAGGACUCUUUUUGUUUGAGAUUAUGAAUCAAACAUAGAUAAACCCCAACAAAAAAUACAAUAUUAUGCAGACAGGCAAAAUCUGUGGGGAAUGAUGGAGGCAAGACACAAGGGCGCACAGAAAGACACGACGAGGGAAGUAAACUUGUCUAGGGAUAACAAUUCCUGCUGGAGAAGAAACUGGGGAAAUAUGCAAAGAGAUUUUUUAACAACAGGUUCAUACAGACCUGACAACAUCGACAAUAUUUCAAAGAAUUUUCACCAACGGGUUCAUACAUGACUUGUACAAAACUAAUAUUCAAAGAGUGCUCAAUUCAGGUUAAACAAGACAUUAAAAUGUGGGGAUAUCAAAAUGGUUCAUUAACAUGUUAAACAUGACCUGGAAAUACUGGAAAUUAUACAAAGAAAGUCCUCACGAAUAAUACAGACCUGAAAACAUUGAAAAAAUCAAGUGUUAACAACAGGUCCAGAACUGAACUGCAAAUGGCUCUAGAAAAUCAAGGAAAGUUUCAAUUAAUAAGGUUCAUACAUGAACCUCAACUUGGAAAAUUCAAAGUGUUUCACCACCGCGGGUUAGACAUGACCUAACAACAAUUGGAAAAUCAACCGAGAGUGUUUAUCAACAGGUUAUACAAUGACUGCGACACUGGAAUUUAAGAAAGUAAUAUCCACAGGUUCAGCAUGACCUGACAAUAUUGGAAAAAUAUACAAAGAAAGUUAAUUAAUAGGUUCAUACAUGACCUUACACUUUAGAAUACAUAUGACAGUGUCUGGAGAUUCUCACAAGAAUUCAUUCGAUCAAAGUUAUUGGAGAUUCCUAACAUGGACUUUAAUGAAAAAAAUAAUAAACGGGAGUCUUCUUAUAAGUAGAUUAUCCACGCAAAAGGCUACGAUGAUUCUUUACAAAAGAUAACCAAAACAAAACAACAUCAUUGGAUUUUCUAAACAUGAAAAAACCUCCAAGCUUUUGGGAUUCCUCAAAUGAUGAGUCAUACAUGGCUUUCAUGGAAACCAUGAAGGAAAUACAGGGUAAUAAUACUCCUGUAGUGCAAAACAAUUGGACUGACUGUAACCAUGGAUUACAACCACUUUUAACGAAAGGAUUUUACCAAUAAAUUGGACCUACCGAAGAGAAAUAAUAAAACAAAUCACACCGGCUACAAACGGAGUUUGCCAAUAACUAACUGACUUGAAAUGAUGUUUGGUGGACCAACCAAACUUCAAUACCAAAUUACAUUUGUAUUUUAAAUGGAGUGCAAUGAUUCCAACGACACUGGGUUAAAAUAAGUCUAGUAACAACUGAGACUUGGGAUAAUGCUAAGUUGGCAGCUGACUUUUAGAAGACACGCAAUGAGCCUUAAAAUAAUCAUAGAAAUGGAAUAGGGUUCUGGUAAGUGCAUUAGAACAAGAAUGACGCCCGAGAGAUUCUAACGCGAGAUAAAAAAGAAUAAUAUGGAAAUGCAUCAGAAUUACAAGUGAAUAUCUAUAAAUAAAUCAGAUAACAGACACAUCCGAUAAUACAUCAAGGAGGAACUCUAAAAAAUCAUCAAAUAUAGAGACAAUAUAUUGCGAGAAUACAUCAGAUAGAUGGUGAAACACCCUGGACACACAUUAGAAAUAUAAGACAGACAUAUUCGAGAAUACAUCAAUAACAAAAAGGGUAAAUCCGGAAAUUCAUGGAUAGUCCGAAAAGGAGUUAAAUCUCAUGAAAUGACAUAUUUUUUGAUAAGGUGCAACUGGUGUUAGGACUUGAAAAAGAUGACUGGGAAAACUGAAGACGGUUAGAGGGUCCAUAUAUGAAAAACUGGAAUUAGAGGUUCAAAGAUAUAGGAUUCAUAAGACGAAGACCUGGGUCAAAUGCAAAAUGAAGACGAAAGUACAUUUCGGCUAUGCAUGAUUUUGAAUUUGUUUUUUAAUGGCAUGAUUAUAUGAUGAUCAUGAUAUGAAAAUGCUGACACUUGAGGUCGACUGGGAGUUGUCGGGACUGUUUUAUAGAUAUUCUGAUUCCUCAACACACAUAACUCCAAUGUACAAGUAAAGGCGUAUCCAGAGGAGAAUCUAUUAGAUUGAUAGUUAAACUAUCAAAUGGGUCAUCCUCCAUAGGGUUAAUAGGUUGUGCUCCAUGGAGAUUCUUGUCGUGAUUCUAGGAGUGCUUACUGCAACCCUUGGACGAACUUUUGGAAAACAUAUGAUUUCUCUCUUGUUCACAUAAAUCAAGCAAAUUUUUUUCAAUACAUUUUUAUUCGUUUCAAAUAUUCAAAAAUUUCUUAUUAACAAAUAAAUGACACUUUACAUAACUAAAUAAAACAUAGAAGGGCACAAUUAACAAUGAUGAUAUAGCAAAACAUUUUUGUAUUUUAUUCAAGAAUUGUAGCACAGUCAAAUGGCGUAGCUCAUGGAAUGUUAAAUUUGAAAUGGCAAUAAGGAAAGGUUUAACGUGAAUAUUAGUGACCACCUACUGAUCCCUAAUAGAUAUGAUUCCAAAACUUGCUUCUAUACGGGAGUAACUGAUUUAAAUCCUUCCACCUCGGAUUCUUCUUGUGUCAAUUAAUAAACAAUUGAUGCAGUUAUGCCUUUGCCCCUAAUUUUUGCCUGGAUCGCCCCUUGUUCCGGGUUUUCAAUCCACCGGGAUGCUCUUUUUUUUGCCUAAGUUGCCCUUUCAGGUUUCAACUUACGAGCUAUCAUUUUUAUUCAUCCUACUUCUGCCUGGAUCGUCCCUUCGGGUUUUUGUUCCACACGGGAUCCACCUUUUUUUGCCUAUAACGGCCCCUUUCAGGUUUUCGACUUAGCGGGUUUUUAUUCAGGCACAUAGUAUUUUUUAACUACAUCAAGAGUUCAUGGGGGUGGAAAGCCUCUUUCAUCAUCCAUAGUUGUGGAAUCAAGGCACCUCCGGAGAAAGGCUUUCUUCACAACAUUGGCGCCUUCAUAUAUGGGAGUCACAUUCCCACGUGAGUCCUUGUGUAGUGGCAAAACUUCUUUGAGCACGAGGUCUCCUUCUCCUUAAUUCCCGAACACGGUACUUUCUUGUCAAUAAAGCCCUCUUGGCAUUUCUGGUAAUAACUGUCCAUGGCCAAAAGAAGUCAUUCGCGUCUCAUUCUAUGAGGUGUUUAACUGAUCAAAUCUGUUUUGAAUCCCAUUCAGCCUCUUCUAGCCUUGGUCUUCAUCAAGAUUCUUCAUUGAAGGUAUCUCCUUCAAUUGGGAGAAACCGCUUCCAUCCCAUAUACCAAAGAGAAUGGGGAUUUGCCCUGUUGGAAGUGAGGACGGAAGUCCGGUAUCCCAUGGCAGUGCAAAGGGGUAGCAUUUCGUGCCAAAAACUUUUAGGUUUUUUCCCAUUUCCUUGGGCAGGAUCCUUCUGAUGUUUUUAUUAAUAGCGGCUCAAACAGUGUCAUUAUCUUUGGCCGAUAUGGUGAAGAGUUAAUGGGCUGCAAUCUGAAAGCUUUCGCAUAUUUUCAGGUCCUUAUUGUUCAGAUUCGUACCAUUACUGUAUGAUCCGGUUGGAACUCCCUAACGAGCAAAUAAUCUCUUUCUUGAGGAACCGUGGCAACACUUAUUUUUGUCACAUUUAGCAAUAGAGGCGGCUUCUACCCAUUUGGUAAAGUAAUCAAUGCAACCAGGAUGAAGCGGUGACCAUUUGGAUAGCUUAGGCUCGAUGGCGCCAAUCAUUGAUGCCCCGCAUUGAGAGGCCACGGUGACCGUUCAAAAACAUUUAGUGGGUCUCGGAGGCUACGUGUACCUUGUCGGCAUAUGAUUUGGCAUUUAUGACAUUUUUUGCAUAAUGAAGCAAUCAGAUUCCCAUGUCAACCAGUAGUAGAACGCCGAGCUGCUCGAAAAUCUUCUUGGCGCAUGGCAUGCCCAUUAUGGCAUGGUUGUCCAAGGAUCCUUCAUGAAUCUCCUGACCAAACAGGGUCCUGUCUUCAAUGUCUAUCCACGCAUCUGUAGUCCAAAAUCAUGUUGUGGUUCCUCUGUAAUAAACAAGUACCAUUGCUUAAGAAGAAUGUCCAUUUCCUUAAUGUUUUUUCUUGUGAAAGGUUUGUUGCAUCUGUUGGAUAUUCUGUGGUUUUUAAAAACAGCAUUUGAAUGUCGUGAAACCAAGGGUUUACCAUCGGCUUCCUCUUCUUCAAUCAACUGACAGUAGGCCAGCUCGACUUCGCUCUCAUCUGAAAUGAGAGGCGCUUCAUUAUGGAAUCUAACUUGUACCAUUUGAAGCCAACAUAAGCGCAAAACAUCAGCUAUUUGAUUCUCAGUCCUCGGGAUAUGACAGAAAGAUGAUUUCGUCAAAGUAUUUAUUAGCUCAUGACAUAGGCAGACGAUAUGGAUCAACUUGGUAUACGGGUUUCCCAUUCACCCUUGACUUGUAUAGACACCAAGGUUGGAGUCUCCACUUACUUCGAGGAUUUUUAUUCGGAGGUCAAGUUGCUGGCUUCGAUGCUAGAAUGCAACGCCUCAUAUUCUGCUAUAUUGUUUGUGCAAUCAAUAAACACAACUUGGCUGUGAAAGGAAGUUAUCCACCAUUCGAAUUCAAUAAAAUAGCUCUACAACCAUGCCCCAUGUAAUUUGAGGAACCAUCGAACAUGAGCUUCCCAUCGGAUCCGGGUCCGGUCAUUCCAUCAGGUCUUGGGAUUUCAACAAUCUUUUAAGCUAACCUAUGUCUUCAUCAGGGAAGUAAAAUUUCAACGGCUGGUAGUCUCAACAGCUGGUUUACCGCAGGUCUCGAACAACAACGCUUUCCUUUAAUGGCUUCUGGGAUACAUAUUGGAUGUCAUACUCAGACAGUAAUCUGCCAGCGGGCGAGUCUUCAGUUAAAAGCAGGGGCUUUUCAAAGAUAUAUUUUAUUGGAUUCCAUUUUGAGAUCAAACAAAGUAGUGGACAAAUAUGUUUGUCUUAGGACAAGAGCUGCCCGCAUGCUAAAGCACAACAAGUUUCUCCAAAAGUUGAAUACCGGGUUCAUAAUCGGUAAACUUUCUUAGCUCAGAUAGUAGAUGUCAUGUUCUUUUCGGCCGGUUCAUCAUUGUUGUCCCAGCCAUCAAAUCCAUUGUACCUUUUCAAGCAGCAGUUCAUACAUAAAGAGUGGUUUCCCUUGAACAGGUUGGAAUUAGAAUAGAGGGCUCUUGCAGUAUUGUCCGGAUCAUCUCAAAAGCCCUUUGGCAAGUCAGAGUUCAUUUCAACUGCUUGAAUCUUUUCUAAGCAACUUGAAUAUAAGGUCGCACAGCGUAUGUCAUAUGAGAUAAUAAACGCCUAGAGCAAUAUAGUUUCAAACGUCCCAGGAAUCCUCUAACUUCUUUCUCUGUACGUGGAAGCAGGCAUUUCUUGUAUGCCUAAACGCUUGUCUAGGAUAUCUACACGCUCAAUUCCUUCGUUGACUAACACUGAAACAAGCAAACUUUCCAGAUCGGUCGACACCGAAGGUGCAUUUAGCAGGAUUCAGUCGUAGUUGAAAUUUCCGAAGACGCUUCAAAUAUGCUUUUGCAAGUGAUUGAUAUGAUCCUCUUCCUUUGGGAAUUUUGCAAUCAUAUCAUCUACAAAAACCUCAAUUUCCUUGGUGCACAUAUCUGGAAAGAGUGACCAAUUGCUCUUUGGUAAGUUGGCCCAGCAUUUUUGAGACCCAAUGGCAUUACCUUGUAGCAAAAUGUUCCCAAGGGGUCGAUGAAUGUGCGUCUUUUCCAUGUCUUCUGGAUCCAUCUUACUUUGAAUUAUAACCCGCGAAUCCGUCCAUAAAGGAAAAGACCGCGAACUUAGCAGUGUUGUCUACCAGAUGCGUCAAUAUGUGGCAGGGAAAUCGUCGUGGACUAAGCUUUAUUUAGAUCUGUAAAUAACACACAUCCUGACCUUGCUCCUUUUUGGGUACGGUAACAAUAUUAGCUACCCGAUUGAAGAAGUACUUUGCAACUGCUAGAAAAGCGGCAUCAAAUUGACAUUUCACCUCGUCACAAAUCUUUAGAGCCAGUCGGGUCUUGCUCUUCGAGCUCUUGCUUCAUGGCAGGGUACCUGGCUGUAGUGGGUAUAGCUUGUGGAAACAAUAAUCAGUAAUCUAAACCUGGCGUAUCCUGAUACGACCAAAGAAAAUGACUCUAUCAUAUUCUGAGAACUUGAUCAAUCUUUCUUGAUGCUACCAAGUGUAGUCAGAAACUUUGACCUCCUUUCUUUUCUUCCUAGUGCCAAGGUUGAUUGUUUCCACAUGGUUUCUUGGAUGCGGCUGAAGGGCCUUUGACUCGUGCUUGAGAGCCUUUCCAAAUUCCUCGGGAAUACAAUCUUCUCACUAUCCCUUUCGCUUGGUAGAUGGGGAUGUUCAAAGUUAGUAGGAGUAGUGGGGUUCCUCGAAUUCAACUAGUUUAUUGAUUAUUCUGCAUGUUUUUUAAAUGAUGGUUCUUAGAAAGUGGAAAUAAAAUGGCAACAAGAAUUAAAAAUAUUUCUUGUAGUUUUCGAAAGGAUUGGCAUUUUAAGGAAAGAAAAACAAAUAAAUGAACGAUAGAAUUUGAAACAAAAUGCUCUUUAUUUGAUCAUGAUUUUGAAAAUUUUUAAAGUGGCCCUACAAAUGAUCUGUUAGCCUUUGGGCAGAGCUAAGGAUUUCAAAAAAACAAAGGAAAACACAAUUAUCUUUGACACAGGAAAAACUUCUGGAAUCUCAAUUUGCUUACCCAAUUUGUUAAGGCUGAUUCACACCGAUAUAGUCAUAUUUGAUGCUUCUCCAUCUUCAGUGUCAUCUUCAAAUUGCACCAAACUUGAUCCCCAUGGCAAUCAUGUGCUUUAGCGAAAACUUCUCGUAUGCUCCGUAUGCAGUCCUUUGCAGGGACCGGGCCUCUUUCCUUAGCAGAAGACUUUGUACCCCAAACCAAAAUCGCUCAUUUUUCUCCGCUGACAUUGAGACUUGCCCCACACCUGUAGGACCCACUUUCAAACUGCUGACCUUGCGCUAUUCAAAGUAGGCGAACGACAACUGGUUUCUCAAUAGGAUCCUUUACUCAAGGCUAACAGAUCAUUUGUAGGGCCACUUUAAAUUUCAAAAUCAUUAUGACAAAUAAAGAGCAUUUUGUUCAAAUUCUUAUCGUUCAUUUAUUUGUUUUUCUUUCCUUAAAAUGGCAAUCCUUUCGAAAACUACAAAAAUAUUUUUAAUUCUUUUGCAUUUUAUUUCCACUUUUCUAAAGAACCAUCAUUUAAAAAACAUGCAGAAUAAUCAAUAAACUAGUUGAAUUCGAUGACCCCACUACUUCCUAUAACUUUGAACUCCCCAUCUACCAAGCGAAAGAGGAUAGUGAGGAAGAUUGUGAUUUCCCUGAAGAAUUGGAAAGGCUACUCAAGCACGAGUCAAAGGCCCUUCAGCCGCAUCAAGAACCAGUGGAAACAAUCAACCUUGGCACUGAGGAAGAAAAGAAAGAGGUCAAAGUUUCGACUACACUUGGGGUAAGCAUCAAAGAAAGAUUGAUCAAGUUGCUACAAGAAUAUGUAGAUGUAUUUUCUUGGUCGUAUCAGGAUACGCCAGGUUUAGAUACUGAUAUUGUUGUCCACAAGCUACCACUACAGCCAGAUUACCCGCCAAUGAAGCAGAAGCUCCGAAGAGCAAGACCCGACAUGGCUCUAAAGAUUUGUGACGAGGUGAAAUGUCAAUUUGAUGCCGGUUUUCUAGCAGUUGCAAAGUACUCUCAAUGGGUAGCUAAUAUUGUACCAGUACCCAAAAAGGAUGGCAAGGUCAGGAUGUGUGUUGAUUACAGGGAUCUAAAUAAAGCUAGUCCAAAGGACGAUUUCCCCCUGCCACAUAUUGACGCUCUGGUAGACAACACUGCUAAGUUCGCGGUCUUCUCCUUUAUGGACGGAUUCUCGGGUUAUAAUCAAAUUAAGAUGGAUCCAGAAGACAUGGAAAAGACCACAUUCAUCACCCCUUGGGGAACAUUUUGCUACAAGGUAAUGCCAUUUGGUCUCAAAAAUGUCGGGGCAACUUACCAAAGAGCAAUGGUCACUCUUUUCCAUGAUAUGAUGCACAAGGAAAUUGAGGUUUAUGUAGAUGAUAUGAUUGCAAAAUCCCAAAGUGAAGAGGAUCAUAUCAAUCACUUGCAAAAGCUAUUUGAGCGUCUUCGGAAAUUUCAACUACGACUGAAUCCUGCUAAAUGCACCUUCGGUGUCCGAUCUGGAAAGUUGCUUGGUUUCGUUGUUAGUCAACGAGGAAUUGAGGUAGAUCUAGACAAGGUUAGAGCAAUACAAGAAAUGCCUGCUCCACGUACAGAGAAAGAAGUUAGAGGAUUCCUGGGACGUUUGAACUAUAUCUCUAGGUUUAUAUCUCAUAUGACUACUACGUGUGGACCUAUAUUCAAGUUGCUUAGAAAAGAUCAAGCAGUUAAAUGGAACUCUGACUGCCAAAGGGCUUUUGAGAUGAUCGGACAAUACCUGCAAGAGCCCUCUAUUCUAAUUCCACCUGUUCAAGGGAAACCACUCUUUAUGUACUUAACUGUGCUUGAAAAGUCAAUGGGAUGCAUGCUGGGACAACAUGAUGAAACCGGCCGAAAAGAACAUGACAUCUACUAUCUGAGCAAGAAGUUUACCGAUUAUGAAACCCGGUAUUCACUUUUGGAGAAAACUUGUUGUGCUUUAGCAUGGGCAGCUCUCUGUCUAAGACAAUACAUGAUUUGUCACACUACUUUGUUGAUCUCAAAAAUGGAUCCAAUAAAAUAUAUCUUUGAAAAGCCUGCUUUAACUGGAAGACUCGCCCGCUGGCAGAUGUUACUGUCUGAGUAUGACAUCCAAUAUGUAUCCCAGAAAGCCAUUAAAGGAAGCGUGUUGUCUGAGUACCUGGUAAACCAGCCUGUUGAAGACUACCAGCCGUUGAAAUUUUACUUCCCUGAUGAAGACAUUAUGGUAGUAAAAGAUUGUGAAAUCCCAAGACCUGAUGAAUGACCGGAACCCGGAUCUCGAUGGAAGCUCAUGUUCGAUGGUUCCUCAAAUUACAUGGGGCAUGGUGUAAGAGCUAUUUUAUUGAAUUCGAAUGGUGGAUACACUCCUUUCACAGCAAGGUUGUGUUUUGAUUGCACAAACAAUAUAGCAGAAUAUGAGGCGUGCAUCCUAGGCAUCGAAGCAGCAAUUGACCUCCGAAUAAAAAUCCUCGAAGUAAGUGGAGACUCAACCUUGGUGAUAUACCAAGUCAAGGGUGAAUGGGAAACCCGUGAUACCAAGUUGAUCCCAUAUCGUGCCUAUGUCAUGGAGCUAAUAAAAUACUUUGACGAAAUCACUUUCUGUCAUAUCCCGAGGACUGAGAAUCAAAUAGCUGAUGUUUUGGCUAUGUUGGCUUCAAUGUACCAAGUUAGAUUCCAUAAUGAAGCGCCUCUCAUUCAGAUAGAGAGGAAAGUUGAGCUUGCCUACUGUCAGUUGAUUGAAGAGGAAGCCGAUGGUAAACCUUGGUUUCACGACAUCAAAUGCUUUUUGAAAAACCAAGAAUAUCCAACAGAUGCAACAACCCUUCACAAGAAAACAUUAAGGAAAUUGGAAUCCAAAUUCUUCUUAAGCAAUGGUGUGUUAUACAAGAGGAACCACAACAUGAUUUUGCUCAGAUGCGUGGAUAGACAUGAAGCAGACCUGUUGGUCAGGGAGAUUCAUGAAGGAUCCUUUGGAACUCAUGCCAAUGGGCAUGCCAUGGCCAAGAAGAUUUUGAGAGCUGGUUACUACUGGUUGACCAUGGAAUCUGAUUGCUUCAAUUAUGCCAAAAAAUGUCAUAAAUGCCAAAUCUAUGCCGACAAGGUACACGUGCCUCCGACCCUACUAAAUGUUUUGACGUCACCGUGGCCUUUCUCAAUGCGGGGCAUCGACAUGAUUGGCGCCAUCGAGCCUAAAGCUUCCAAUGGUCACCGCUUCAUCCUGGUUGCCAUUGAUUACUUUACCAAAUGGGUAGAAGCCGCCUCUUAUGCUAAUGUGACAAAAUAAGUGGUAAAAGCUUCCAAUGGUCACCGCUUCAUCCUGGUUGCCAUUGAUUACUUUACCAAAUGGGUAGAAGCCGCCUCUUAUGCUAAUGUGACAAAAUAAGUGGUUGCACGGUUCCUCAAGAAAGAGAUUAUUUGUCGUUAUGGAGUUCCAAGCCGGAUCAUUACAGAUAAUGGGACGAAUCUGAACAAUAAGACCAUGAAAGAAUUAUGCGAAAGCUUCAAGAUUGAGCACCAUAACUCUUCACCAUAUCGUCCAAAGAUGAAUGACACUGUUGAAGCCGCUAAUAAAAACAUCAAGAAGAUCCUGCAGAAAAUGGUGAAAACCUAAAAGGUUUGGCACGAAAUGCUACCCUUUGCACUGCAUGGAUACCGGACUUCCGUCCUCACUUCAACAGGGGCAACCCCAUUCUCUUUGGUAUAUGGGAUGGAAGCGGUUCUCCCAAUUGAAGUGGAGAUACCUUCAAUGAGAAUCUUGAUGAAGACCAAGCUAGAAGAGGCUGAAUGGAUUCAAAACAGAUUUGAUCAGUUAAACCUCAUAGAUGAGAAGCGAAUGACUUCUUUGUGCCAUGGACAGUUAUACCAGAAAUGGCUCAAGAGGGCUUUUGACAAGAAAGUACGUGUUCGGGAAUUCAGAGAAGGAGACCUCGUGCUCAAGAAGGUUUUGCCACUACACAAGGACUCACGUGGGAAGUGGACUCCCAAUUAUGAAGGCCCAUAUGUUGUGAAGAAAGCCUUCUCCGGAGGUGCCUUGAUUCUCACAACUAUGGAUGAUGAAGAGCUUUCACACCCCAUGAACUCUGAUGUAGUUAAAAAAUACUAUGCCUAAUAAAAACCCGCUAAGUCGAAAACCUGAAAGGGCGAUUUAGGCAAAAAAAAAGGUAUCCCGGUGGAUCAAAAACCCGAAGGGACGAUCCAGGCAGAAGUUAGGGAUGAAUAAAAAAUGAUAGCUCGCUAAGUUGAAAACCUGAAAGGGCAACUUAGGCAAAAAAAAGAGCAUCCCGGUGGAUUGAAAACCCGAAAGGGCGAUCCAGGCAAAAAUUAGGGGCAAAAGGCAUAAACUGCAUCAAUUGUUAUUAAUUGACACAGAAGAAUCCGAGGUGGAAGAUUAAUCCAGUUACUCCCCGUAGAAGCAAGGUUUUUGGGAAUCAUAUCUAUUAGGGAUAGUAGUGGUCACUAAAUUCAACGUAAACCUUUCCUUAUUGCCAUUUUCAAAAUUGUAACAUUCCAUGGAGCUACGCCAUUUGUGUGCUACAAUUCUUGAAUAAAAUACAAGUUUUGUAUAUCAAUCAUUGUUAAUUGUGCCCUUCUAUGUUUUAUUUGUUAUGUAAAGUGUCAUUUAUUUGUUAAUAAUGAAAUUUUGAAAUUUGAAAAGAAUUAAAAAUGUAUUGAAAAAAAAUUGCUUUGAUUUAUGUGAAACCAAGAGAGAAUCAUAUGUUUUCCCAAAAGUCUCAAGGUUGCAGAAGCACUCCUAGAUCACCGACAAGAAUCUCCAUGGAGCACAACCUAUUAACCCUAUGGAAGGAUGACCCAUUUGAUAGUUAUAACUAUCAAUCUUAAUAGAUUCUCCUCUGGAUACGCCUAUUACUUGUACUGAUUGGAGUUAUUGGUGUUGAGGAAUCAGAAUAUCUAUAAACAGUCCCUACAAACUCCCAGUCGACUCAAGUGUCAGCAUUUUCAUAUCAUGAUCAUUCAUAUAUCAUGCAUAAAAACAAAUUCAAAUCAUGCAUAGCCGAAAUGUACUUCGUGCUCAUUUUGCAUUGACCCAGGUCUUGUUAUUGAUCCUAUAUCCUUUGACCUCUAAUUCCAGUUUUUCUUUGGUACCCUUAAACCGUCUUCCAGUUUUCGCAGUCAUUUUCAAGUCCAACUCAGUUGGCACCUAUCAAAAAUAUGUUUUCAUGAGAUUUAACUCCUUUUCGGACUAUCCAAUGAAUUUCCGGAUUACUCUUUUGUUUAUUGAUGUAUUCUCGAAUAUGUCUGUCUUAUAUUCUAAUGUGUUUCCAGGUGUUUCCCCAUCUAUCUGAUGUAUUCUCGAAUAUAUUUGUCUUAUAUUAUGAUGUAUUUUUAGAGUUUCCUUGAUGUAUUAUCGGAUGUGUCUGUUAUCUGAUUUAUUUAUAGAUAUUCACUUGUAAUUCUGAUGCAUUUCCAUAAUUCGUUUCUUUUACUCUUCGGUGAAUUCUCGGGCUGUCAUUUUUGUUCUAAUGCACUUCCAGAACCCCUAUUCCAUUUCCUAUGAUUAUUUUAAGGCUCAUUGGUGUCUUCUAAAAUUCAGCUGCCACUAGCAUUAAUCCAAUCUCAGUUGUUACUAGAACUUAUUUUAAACCCAAUUGUCGUUGGAAUCAUUGUCACUCCAUUUAUAAAUACAAAUGUAAUUGGUAUCUGAAGUUUGGUUGUCACCAACAUCAUUUCAAGUCCAGUUAUUAUUGGCAAACUCCGUUGUAGCCGGUGAUUGUUUUAUUAUUUCCUUCGGUUAGGUCCAAUUGUUAUUGGUAAAAUCCGUUAAAAGUUGGUUGUAAUCCAUUGGUUACAGUCAAAGUCCAAUUGUUGUUGGCACAUACAGAGAGUUUGAUUACCCUGUAUUUCCUCAUGGUUCCAUGAAAGCCAUGUAUGACUCAUCAUUUUGAGGAAUUCCCAAAAGCUUGGAGGUUUUUCAUGUUAGAAAACUCCAAUGAUGUUGGUUUUGUUUGGUUUCUUUGUAAAGAAUCAUCGUAGCCUUUUGCGUGGAUAAUCUACUUAUAAGAAGACUCCCGUUUAUAUUUGUUUUGCAUAAAUUCCAUGUUAGGAAUCUCCAAAAUCUUUGAUCGAAUGAAUUUCUUGUGAGAAAUCUCCAGAACUGUCAUAUGUAUUCUAAAGUGUAAGGUCAUGUAUGAACCUAUUAAUUAAACUUUCUUUGUAUAUUUUCCAAUAUUGUCAGGUCAUGCAUGAACCUGUGGAUAUACUUUCUUUAAAUUUUCCAGUGUCGUCAGGUCAUGUAUGAACCUGUUGAUAAAACUCUCUUUGAUUUUUCCCAAUUGUUGUUAGGUCAUGUCUGAACCCGCGGGUGAAACACUUUGAAUUUUUCAAUGUUGAGGUCAUGUAUGAACCUAUUAAUUAAACUUUCCUUGAUUUUCUAGCAUUUUCAGGUCAUGUCUGGACCUGUUGUUGAAACACUUUGAUUUUUUCAAUGUUUUCAGGUCAUGUAUGAGUCUGUUGAUGGAACUUUCUUUGUAUAAUUUCCAGUAUUUCCAGGUCAUGUUUUAACAUGUUAAUGGAACCUUUUGAUAUCCCCCACAUUUUAAUGUCUUGUUUGAACCUGUUAAUUGAGCACUCUUUGAAUAUUAGUUUUGUCAAGUCAUGUAUGAACCCGUUGUUGAAAAUUCUUUGAAUAUUUCGAUGUUGUCAGGUCAUGUAUGAACCUGUUGUUAAAAUCUCUUUGCAUAUUUCCCAGUUGUCUUUCCUCCAGCAGAAUUGUUAUCCCUAACAAGUUACUACCCUCGUGUGUUUCUUGUGGGCCAUUGUUGUCUUGCCUCCAUCAUUCCCCACAGAUUUGCCUGUCUUGCAUAAAAUAUUUGUUAGGGUUUAUCUUAUGUUUGAUCAUAUCCUCAAACAAAAAGAGUCCUUCAUGCAUACAUUCAUAACAUAUCAUAUCAUGUAAUUUGCAUUCAGAGACAAAAUUCGGGUCUUUUUAGUAUUUAAUUAUCUCCUACCACGAUCAUAUGAAGAGUAACAUUCUUCAUAUUCUCUGGUUGAAGAUACUUAAAUAGGGGCAACUGUCAUACCCCAGUUUUGACCCUGAAUACAUUUUUCAUGACAUUAACAUCACACGCAUAUCAUAACAUGCAUUUCAUCUUGCAUAAUGCCUAAAUUGUCAAUUGAAUUAAUUUUCGGAUCUACAGGAAAACCGGUUGAGUCAAUUGUCAAAUGUGCGUCAAAAUAGAGGGUGAAAAAAUUUCAAAAUCAAGCUUGCAAACAUAAGUUUUUUAAUCUACGUUUCACGUAGUUUGACCUGAUGUGCUCGAUUUAUUUUGCGACUAAUUUUUCGAUCAUAUUUUGACUCGUCUGAGCGUUUUAACCGAGCAUUUUUUUUAUAUAUUUCAAAAUCUAAUCAAAACCUGUAUAUUUAUUAGAGGUUUAUUUUGAACUGAUUAUUUUGGUGCAUUCAGUUUAAUUUUUCGAGCAUUUUUACACCCAACUUUUACUCAUUUUGAAUCUUGUUUUAUUUUUAUUUUUCAAGUCUAAAUAUUUGAAAUAAUUAAAUAGAUUUGUUUAUAUUUUUAUUUUUAUUUUUGUUUAUUUAAAAUAAUUUGAUUUUUUUAAAAAUUUAGUUAUUUCAAUUUCCUUUUACCAUAAAUAAUCAAUAAGUGAAUCCCUUUUUCAUAAAAAGAUUGAUUUUUUUAAAAAUUUAGUUAUUUCAAUUUCCUUUUACCAUAAAUAAUCAAUAAGUGAAUCCCUUUUUCAUAAAAAGAAUUGGUUUCUAUGCAUAUGGAAAAAAGCCAAAACAAUGCAGGCCACACCCUAUCUCCCACACGGCACAUAGCUGAAGAAGGGAGAUUCCGUUUUGAAAGAAUAAAGAGUGGUUACAGGUUUCCAAAAAUGUCUCUCCCUACCAACUAGAAUGUGAUCUCACUCUUUAUAUAUUGAUAUACAUACAACUCCCUCCUAUGGACUAAAGGACCAAGACACCAACCAAAAAAACUUUUAACCACACACACAUAUCACUCUAUACAGAUACUUUAUCUUCUGCCCUUAAAAGGGACCCUCCUCUUCAUACUCCAAAGAAAAAAAAAUUCAUUUGUUUUUUGAAAAAAGACUCUUUCACAACACCCAUCUAUAACCUCUCAUCUCCCUCUAACAACUUACUGCAACUACUCCAUGAAAACUCUUUACUAAACAUCACUCAACCACGUCGGCACUACUUAAGCACCUCCCUUCACACCGGCGGUGCAUGAACAAACGCAACCACCACCAAAUAACAACUCAGCCACAAACCGCAUCCAUGCAACAACCACAGACCGCUCUCUCUCCACCACCACAACAUCGUCCCCGAAGAUAUUGGAAGAUCACGAAAACAACUUUGGUAUUUUCUAACUUAAUUAAUAUUUAUGUACUUGAGUAUGUUCCCAUGAAAGUUGCAUUAUAAUAUGAAUCCAUACAUAUAUACCUAUGAGUGUUAACUAUUUUGAGACUUUGUUGGAGUUUAAUAUUGUUUUCUUAUUUCUUUCAUUUGCAUCUUGAUUGUUGUUAGAACAAACACGCUUUGCUGAAAUUCAUGGGCUGUCAUACUUAUCUUGGUUGCACAAGUUUUAUCUUGUUUUGGAAAUUCCAUGGAACAUAGAAAGUUUAUAAAAAGAAAGGAGGUUUUUUAAUAUAACUGGUUGUUGUUGUUUUCAUUCAUAACAGAAAGUAAGAUAGAGAUAUUGUUGAUUAAUUUUCAUGGGUUUUAUUUUUCCAUCGCCAUGUGUCAACUUGUGAUUAGUGGCUUUUGAGAAUUGAAAAAAGUUAUUCUAUCCCUUGACCUACACCAACAAACUCAGUAAUCCGAUGCUUCCACUUCUUCAUAGAAACCGUUGCCGGCAACGGAUUUCAACACAUUAUAACAGCUCAAACGCUCCGAAAAACUGUCGUCGUACUUUGAGAAUUUGAGAAUCACCGCAUUGCUAUGACUCUCGUUUGUUUUCAUUCUCUUCUUUGUUUGCCUUGAUUUUUCCUUUCACUUUUAUUAUCUUAUUAACUGGAUUUUAAAGUUUGAUUUCUUUUGUUUCUUAGUCUGUUUUGAUUCAUUGAAAAGUUGAAUGAAGUUCAUGGCAGGAGUUAAGAAAAGAUAGGAAUAUAUCUCUCAGUUUCAUUUCCAGCUUGUGUUUUCACUACAGUAUUGAAAAGGCAGGAGUUAAGAAAAUGAGGAACGACCGCCCUUUUUAUUUUAUUUUAUUAUUCUUUUAAUUUAUGUUUUUUCAUUUAGGGCUAAUAUUUUGUGGGCUUGGAUUCAAAAGACCAUUUAUUAUCAAACCUCAUUUAUUACAUGAACUAUCCUUUCUGCAUUUCUUUCUAUGAUUAAUGUAAAUUAGCAACUAAUUGCUUGAUUAAUAUUUUAU
Molecule: long non-coding RNA, 29009 nt
Filed under: Lathyrus oleraceus (garden pea)
Lineage: Eukaryota; Viridiplantae; Streptophyta; Magnoliopsida; Fabales; Fabaceae
Description: Pisum sativum (pea) long non-coding RNA (PSAT_LNC033650)
Source: RNAcentral